This 468-nucleotide ribosomal RNA is filed under the name uncultured bacterium. RNAcentral's name for it is "partial 16S ribosomal RNA". It matches the Rfam family "Bacterial small subunit ribosomal RNA", at positions 28 to 507 of the family's 1533-position model. The record is from RNAcentral.
GACGAACGCUGGCGGCGUGCUUAACACAUGCAAGUCGAACGAUGAUGCCAGCUUGCUGGUGGAUUAGUGGCGCACGGGUGCGUAACACGUGCGCAACCUGCCCCUGACUUCGGGAUAACCGCGGGAAACCGUGGCUAAUACCGGAUAUGACGCGCUAUCGCAUGGUGGUGUGUGGAAAGAUUUAUCGGUUGGGGAUGGGCUCGCGGCCUAUCAGCUUGUUGGUGGGGUGAUGGCCUACCAAGGCGACGACGGGUAGCCGGCCUGAGAGGGUGACCGGCCACACUGGGACUGAGACACGGCCCAGACUCCUACGAGAGGCAGCAGUGGGGAAUAUUGCACAAGGGGCGCAAGCCUGAUGCAGCGACGCCGCGUGAGAGAUGACGGCCUUCGGGUUGUAAACCUCUUUCAGUAGGGAAGAAGGCCUUCGGGUUGACGGUACCUGCAGAAGAAGCGCCGGCUAACUACGUG